Molecule: microRNA precursor, 82 nt
Organism: Pan troglodytes (chimpanzee)
Lineage: Eukaryota; Metazoa; Chordata; Mammalia; Primates; Hominidae
Rfam family: mir-4446 microRNA precursor family
Source: Rfam
AGUGGCUCUGGUCCAUUUCCCUGCCAUUCCCUUGGCUUCAAUUUACUCCCAGGGCUGGCAGUGAGAUGGGUCAAGGCUCACA